This 515-nucleotide ribosomal RNA is filed under the name uncultured bacterium. Its description in RNAcentral is "partial 16S ribosomal RNA". It matches the Rfam family "Bacterial small subunit ribosomal RNA", at positions 28 to 523 of the family's 1533-position model. The record is from RNAcentral.
GAUGAACGCUGGCGGCGUGCCUAAUACAUGCAAGUCGAGCGAAUGGAUUAAGAGCUUGCUCUUAUGAAGUUAGCGGCGGACGGGUGAGUAACACGUGGGUAACCUGCCCAUAAGACUGGGAUAACUCCGGGAAACCGGGGCUAAUACCGGAUAACAUUUUGAACCGCAUGGUUCGAAAUUGAAAGGCGGCCUCGGCUGUCACUGAUGGAGGGACCGGCGUCGCAUUAGCUAGUUGGUGAGGUAACGGCUCACCAAGGCAACGAUGCGUAGCCGACCUGAGAGGGUGAUCGGCCACACUGGGACUGAGACACGGCCCAGACUCCUACGGGAGGCAGCAGUAGGGAAUCUUCCGCAAUGGACGAAAGUCUGACGGAGCAACGCCGCGUGAGUGAUGAAGGCUUUCGGGUCGUAAAACUCUGUUGUUAGGGAAGAACAAGUGCUAGUUGAAUAAGCUGGCACCUUGACGGUACCUAACCAGAAAGCCACGGCUAACUACGUGCCAGCCGCCGCCGUAA